UGCAAUGGCUCUUGGCCGCUGUGCGCCUAGGCUGCUCCACGCCAGUGGGAGGGCGCACGCCUCCUCCCUGGGCCCCCUCAUAGCCCUGGCGGGGAAUGUGGUGCCGCAAGGCUGCUGGCCCCGGAAGGAGGCUGGUGUGCCGGGCUGACAGCAUGCCCGCUGGGGAGAAACGCUGUGCCCCGAGGGUCCCCACCUCCCACUGGCCAGUAGAGGGCUGUGGGUGGAUGCUGCAGCAUGCGUCCGUGGGGGAGGACCUGGUCCCUUGAGGCCAAUGUGCACCCCGUGGGCAGAGAUCUUGUACACUGAUGCCAGCGUGGCCAACGGAAGGGGAAGACAUUGCAGCCCGAGGCCACCAUGCUCUUGGCGAAUAGGGACAUUUGGGCCCUUGGACCACUCUGGGGGCAUGUCACACCCUUGGGCAGCAAGUGACUGGCAGAGGACAGCCCAGCAGUCAUUAUCACCACAUAAAGUUGCAUUCAUCUAAUCUCAGACAUUCAGUUUACCUGGGGAGAAAGUUUUCUCAUCAUUUUACAGAUACUUGUUCCCGAGGGCCAGAGCUGAUCAUACAGCUUUUCUGAGAUUGUAAACUCUUUGGGGCAGGGAGUGUCUCGUGUCUGCGCUUAUACAGCACCUAGAGCAAUGGAAGUGCUGGGCAACACUGCAGUACUAAUAGUUUGGUGAGUAGAAGCAACUCAUUAAGGCAGCCUAUCACUUUUCAUUAUAAAAAUUCCUGCAAUCAUUUUGUUUUUUUAAGAAACUCACACCUCCACGGUUUGCUGAAGGACUUUGAAAUUUGGAGGAAUUGUCCUGAUGUCAGGGAGAUGCCUUUUGCUGGCUUCAUGUACAUCUGU
Molecule: long non-coding RNA, 851 nt
Organism: Gopherus flavomarginatus (Mexican gopher tortoise)
Lineage: Eukaryota; Metazoa; Chordata; Testudines; Testudinidae
Exons: 3
Source: RefSeq, a predicted model, not a curated record